Molecule: non-coding RNA, 1551 nt
Organism: Bactrocera oleae (olive fruit fly)
Lineage: Eukaryota; Metazoa; Arthropoda; Insecta; Diptera; Tephritidae
Source: RefSeq, a predicted model, not a curated record
CAACACGUGCGGUGGAUAUUCCUAGAUUACUAGCGUAUGCUACGUAAACAAUUUUUUUAAUUAAUAAAUGUUCAAUUUAUUACACAUAUCCCACAAAUUAAGCUAAACUCUAUGUACCUUGACUUCGUCCUAUUAAAUUGAAUACGAUAAAAGAAAGCGUAUCAACAAAUAUGAUGCGAUAAUUCGGUGAUGAAAUAUGUUACACAGGGACGAAGUUAAAAAAAAGCAAAAGUAAAGUAAGAGAAGAUAUUCCACUUAUGGAAGUUUUACUGUAUCUAAAUAUUUCUUGGAAUGCUGUUGUAUACCUUGAAUUUGAUUUUAGACAUUUAGUUGAGAGAGUUAUGUUAAGUUGGUCAAAGCUGGUUAGUUUGAAUAGUUAAAAAAAUUAUUUGCAAGUUACCAAUCUUGUGGCAGUUAUUUCUAUUAGCAAAUCAUUUGCAUAUGUAUAAAUAGUUUUAUUUUUUUGGAUUCGUUCGUUAAAGACAUAAAUAUGUGCAGAGUCCAGACGCGCAACCGUACAAGCUGAAUGUAAGUUCAUCAACUGAUUAAGUAUAUGUCAGCGACUUCGUGUAUAACUUGUAUUACUGUGCUGAUGUUCAACAAGUUGAUAGCAAACCCAAAACCGCUUUUGCACCUCUACUGACUAUUACUAGUAUGUUUGGACAACAAAGUUGUUGAUGUUGCUACCAUUAUUGGUGAUAGUGCUGCUGUGAAAACCUAUAUAAAUGGGUGAUGUGCGCGAAAGUGUGUAGCCACUAGAGUCGCUGAUGCAGAUUUCUUUCGCUUCACAGACUCGAAAAAGGAGUUUAUCUAACGUAUUUUCCGGACAAAAAACAACAAUAUAAUAGCCUUAAUAGGCUAAGUGAAUAUUGCCGGCAAAAAACAAAAAUGUCGAUGAUCUCAAUGCCACAAUUCAGAAUUUCGCUCACGGAGAGCACUUUACUUACAAAUUAUUUGACACAGCUACAAACAUUUUUAAAUUUAUUGGAAUUGCCUGGACUACCACCACAAAAUUUUUAAUUAGAAGUAGGAUCAUUUGUCUUCAUUCUGCGUAGCAUAAAUCAACCUCGACUUUGCAAUGGAACGAGACUGGCUGUGAAGAAGCUAAUGAAUAUCGUCAUUGAAGCCAAGAUCAUCAAGGGGAAAUACAAAAUUCCACGUAUACCGAUGAUUCCAACGACUUUAAGCGUUUACCAUUUUCCGUAAGCCUGGCUUUUACAAUAAGCAUCAAUAAAUCGCAGGCCAGUCGUUGAAAGUUUACAGAAUCAACUUGAAGUUUCCCUGUUUCGCGCAUGUAGAAUUAUACGUUGCGUGUUCGGAAAACUAUCAUCUUUAUAUAUUGACGCACCGCAAAAAAAGAAAGCUUUAAAUUAAUUAACUGUAUAACCAGCUAAUAUGUACAGCAGUGGCCGUCUUUUGGCCAAUAUGAUGAUGAUGAUAACAUAACUCUGUUGUAUUUAACGUAGACAAAAAUAUUGUAUUAAUUUUAAAUUUUUAACAUAAUUUUGUUACAAACUUGAAUUUAAGAUAAAUAAACCACAAAAUUAAACA